GGGUAGGUAGCUCAGUUGGUAGAGCAACGGACUGAAAAUCCGUGUGUCGGCGGUUCAAGUCCGCCCCUACCCA
This 73-nucleotide transfer RNA is filed under the name Phycisphaerae bacterium. RNAcentral's name for it is "tRNA-Phe". It matches the Rfam family "tRNA". Rfam says of the family: Transfer RNA (tRNA) molecules are approximately 80 nucleotides in length. Their secondary structure includes four short double-helical elements and three loops (D, anti-codon, and T loops). Further hydrogen bonds mediate the characteristic L-shaped molecular structure. tRNAs have two regions of fundamental functional importance: the anti-codon, which is responsible for specific mRNA codon recognition, and the 3' end, to which the tRNAs corresponding amino acid is attached (by aminoacyl-tRNA synthetases). tRNAs cope with the degeneracy of the genetic code in two manners: having more than one tRNA (with a specific anti-codon) for a particular amino acid; and 'wobble' base-pairing, i.e. permitting non-standard base-pairing at the 3rd anti-codon position. The record is from RNAcentral. Lineage: Bacteria; Pseudomonadati; Planctomycetota; Phycisphaerae. RNAcentral also lists the same sequence under 5 other names.